RNAcentral lists this ribosomal RNA (253 nucleotides) under uncultured bacterium. Its description in RNAcentral is "partial 16S ribosomal RNA". It matches the Rfam family "Bacterial small subunit ribosomal RNA", at positions 524 to 776 of the family's 1533-position model. The record is from RNAcentral.
UACAGGGGGUGCAAACGUUGCUCGGAAUCAUUGGGCGUAAAGAGCUCGUAGGCGGUUUGUCACGUCUGCUGUGAAAUCCCGAGGCUCAACCUCGGGCCUGCAGUGGGUACGGGCAGACUGGAGUGCGGUAGGGGAGAAUGGAAUUCCUGGUGUAGCGGUGGAAUGCGCAGAUAUCAGGAGGAACACCGAUGGCGAAGGCAGUUCUCUGGGCCGUAACUGACGCUGGGGAGCGAAAGCGUGGGGAGCGAACAGG